GAAAGCCCCAAUAAAAAGGCCCUCUGCUGCAUCACUGCCAUCCUCCUGCUACUCAAGUCCUGAUAGACUUUGGAGAACCUGAUUCUAAGACUCCAGAAAGAUGUCUCAGCAGCAGCAGCAGUGCAAGCAGCCCUGCCAGCCACCUCCAGUGGUGUGUCCACCCAAGUGCCCUGAGCCUUGCCCACCUCCAAAGUGCCCUGAGCCCUGCCCACCUCCAAAGUGCCCUGAGCCAUGCCCACCUCCUCAGUGCCAGCAGAAAUGCCCUCCUGUGCCACCUCCCCAACAAUGCCAAGAGAAGUGCCCACCCAAGUGCAAGUAAAAGCUUCAGCUUUUAUCUGGAUCAGGAAAGGAUAAGGACAGUUGACUCACCUGGCUCCACAGCUCUACCUUCGCCUUCUCUUCAAAUCCUAUCAUGGAUACAGAAGGAGUUUCUCCACGCUUCAGCCAACAAUACGCCUGUGGUGAUUUCAGACAGCUAGAGGUUUCCUUUCUGAAGUUGCUAUACUGCUUUGCUCUUGGAAGUGCCCAAGAAAGCAUCACAAAGUUUCAGAAGGAAGAACAGCAGCUCUUCUCCUGGGUCCCAUCAGAGGAUUCACUCACUGUCUUCUGUGUCUGUCACCUGGGCAGGGGUUUCUACAGGCUGGGAAAUUGUUACUUAUCCUCUACCUCCUGAAUAAAGUAGAAUUCCUUUGUGUGAUGUUAAAAA
This is a long non-coding RNA of Cervus elaphus (red deer), 706 nucleotides long. RefSeq lists it as uncharacterized. The transcript is spliced from 2 exons. NCBI's taxonomy places the organism in Eukaryota, Metazoa, Chordata, Mammalia, Artiodactyla, Cervidae. The record is from RefSeq and is a predicted model, not a curated record.